UACGUAGGGGGCUAGCGUUGUCCGGAAUCAUUGGGCGUAAAGCGCGUGUAGGCGGUUCGGUAAGUCCGCUGUGAAAGUCGGGGGCUCAACCCUCGGAUGCCGGUGGAUACUGUCGGGCUAGAGUGCGGGAGAGGCGUGUGGAAUUCCUGGUGUAGCGGUGAAAUGCGCAGAUAUCAGGAGGAACACCAAUUGCGAAGGCAGCUCGCUGGAACGUAACUGACGCUGAGACGCGAAAGCGUGGGGAGCAAACAGG
This 253-nucleotide ribosomal RNA is filed under the name uncultured bacterium. RNAcentral's name for it is "partial 16S ribosomal RNA". It matches the Rfam family "Bacterial small subunit ribosomal RNA", at positions 524 to 776 of the family's 1533-position model. The record is from RNAcentral.